AAAAUAACAAGCGAUGGGGAUACCGUGAUCAGGAAGGUGCUUCCCCCAGGGUGAGACCUAACUGCGGUUGGGUUGACCCCUGCGAUUAUCCCUAAUGAGGAUAAAUCGAUCGCGUUAUUUUUGUGUGUGGGGGCUGCGUAUGCGCUGUCCCCAU
RNAcentral lists this small nuclear RNA (154 nucleotides) under Galleria mellonella (greater wax moth). Its description in RNAcentral is "U1 spliceosomal RNA". It matches the Rfam family "U1 spliceosomal RNA". Rfam says of the family: U1 is a small nuclear RNA (snRNA) component of the spliceosome (involved in pre-mRNA splicing). Its 5' end forms complementary base pairs with the 5' splice junction, thus defining the 5' donor site of an intron. Lineage: Eukaryota; Metazoa; Arthropoda; Insecta; Lepidoptera; Pyralidae. The record is from Rfam by way of RNAcentral.